ACAAGUGGCUCCGAUAGCCACUUGUCACCCACACAAUAGCGGCGCAGAUCACUAGGCAAAGGGGAAAAGAAAAUUUUAAAAAAAAGCUGUUGGCAGGAUGUUUCACGUGGAAGAUAGUGAGCCAAACAAACAUCAUCACCAUAAUUAUUAUUACUAUUAAUGAUAGCAUUCAUUUUCUUUCUCAUUUCAUGAUCCAAGAAAUAAAAACAAAUAAAAUUUCAUUAAAGCAAGAGGAGAAAGAAACAGAAAUAGGAAGCACUCAAGCAAUUUGCGGUGGAGAAGAUGAAGACUCACGGCGGAAUAGAUGAAGACUCACGGCGGCUCACAUAAGAUCACAGCGGCCGGAGCUUCUCCGGCGCGAUGGCCGGAGGAUUGUUAAUGAAAAGCUUGUAGAUCUACAACAGAAAUUUGAAAGCUAUAAAUUCAAAAUGUAGCACUAUCAGUGCAAGAGUCACGAAAAUAAAGAGGAAUUCGGGUUCAGAAGAUGGAGAACAACCUUUUAGUGUCAAGAACUUAAAGAACGACAGAGGUUAUGGAUUCCGGUGCGGUGGUUUUGUGUUUCCGGCGGUGGUUUUGUGUUUCCGACGGUGGUUUCCGGUCAGGAGGAGGUGAACCCGAUGCCAAACCAUGAAGCUUAGAAGAAAAUGGUAGACUUGUGAAGUUGUAAACCAAGAGUUUUGCCAUGAAUUUGUUCUUUGAAUCUUAGACCAUAGGAAAUCUCAAAUUAUGCUUCUUGUAGGAUAAGAAACUUUGUAAUUUGGUAUAGGAACCUUGAAUCCAUCUUGUAUUUUUGAAGCUUUAACUUGAAGAAAAUUGGAUUCUUUGAAUGGAAUGAGGACUCUUGUUUUGAACCUUGUAAUCCUUGAAGUAUUUUGGAGUUGAAACUUGUAUGUUGAAAGACAUUGAAUCGAAA
Vicia villosa (hairy vetch) is the source of this 913-nucleotide long non-coding RNA. RefSeq lists it as uncharacterized. The transcript is spliced from 3 exons. The record is from RefSeq and is a predicted model, not a curated record. Lineage: Eukaryota; Viridiplantae; Streptophyta; Magnoliopsida; Fabales; Fabaceae.